AUGUGAUCGUCUCUCGCAUAUCAAUAAGCGGAGGAAAAGAAACUAACAAGGAUUCCCCUAGUAACGGCGAGUGAAGCGGGAAGAGCUCAAAUUUGAAAUCUUAAAGGGUUUCCCUUUACGAAUUGUAGUUUAAAGAAGUGUUUUCUGUUGAGGUUUUGGUAAAAGUUCUUUGGAAUAGGACAUCAUAGAGGGUGAGAAUCCCGUAUUUGACCUUUACUUUCAACUUUGUGAUACACUUUCAAAGAGUCGGAUUGUUUGGGAAUGCAGUCCAAAAUGGGUGGUAAAUUUCAUCUAAAGCUAAAUAUUGGCGAGAGACCGAUAGCGAACAAGUACCGUGAGGGAAAGAUGAAAAGAACUUUGAAAAGAGAGUUAAACAGUACGUGAAAUUGUCAAAAGGGAAGCGUUUGACACCAGUGUUGUUUUUCUGAAAAUCAAUUAAAGAACUGUUUAUGCUAAGUUGUUUAGACUUUAUCAGCUAACUGUUUAGUUUUGAGCUUUUCUUUAAUGCACUUUUCAGUUAACAAGUCAACAUCAAUUUCUUUUGCUGUAAAAAAGCUUGAGGAAGGUGGCUUGAGAUUCGUCUUAAGUGUUUAUAGCCUCUUGCCUAUGCAGUCGGAGAGAUUGAGGUCUGCAGCGUAGAUCCUUCGGGGCUAAAUGCAUUUGUGCUAAGUUAUAGCAUUUUAUAGACAACUUAGUUGACUAUGAUUUGUCUUGUAGCUUACUCGCUUAUGUUAUUUUACCUACGCUUAGGAUGUUGACACACGCGCGUGCUCG
This 774-nucleotide ribosomal RNA is filed under the name uncultured Neocallimastigales. RNAcentral describes it as "partial large subunit ribosomal RNA". It matches the Rfam family "Eukaryotic large subunit ribosomal RNA", at positions 24 to 643 of the family's 3401-position model. Lineage: Eukaryota; Fungi; Neocallimastigomycota; Neocallimastigomycetes; Neocallimastigales. The record is from RNAcentral.